Helianthus annuus (common sunflower) is the source of this 2569-nucleotide long non-coding RNA. RefSeq lists it as uncharacterized. The transcript has 4 exons. The record is from RefSeq and is a predicted model, not a curated record. NCBI's taxonomy places the organism in Eukaryota, Viridiplantae, Streptophyta, Magnoliopsida, Asterales, Asteraceae.
CUCUAGAUUCAAAAUUCAAACCGUAUACAUAUAUAACCUACAUUAUUCUGACUCCACGUUCAAAAUUCAAACCAUAAAUCAAUCCACAUCUCUCUCAAAUCCAGAGCUCCCAAUUCAAACCAUAAAGUGGCCGGCUGAAAUCGUGAGUUCUUCGGUGACCGAGCGGAGUUUAUAAAUGCGACCAGAUUAAUUUCAUAUUCUAAUCAUCUAAAGAUAGAAGAGCUCCUUCCUUUUGAAGAUAGAAGAGCUCCUUACUUAUUUUAUCACCAUCAUCUCAUCUCAUCUCAUUUUCUUCAUUACAUUUCAGAUUCUAAAACUCAACAACUCGAUUUUCUGCAUCAGAUUCUGAUCAAAUUGUGAAGUCUUCAUGGCGAUGAAAUCAACAGGACAACGCCAUCGUUUCGAUCAUCUGCUUCCAGAUUGAGUUGGUGUUUAUUGUUGAUAUCCGGACUGAUAAGAAGAAGAUUAAAGCUGCUGUUAAGAAGAUGUAUGAUAUUCAAACUAAGAAGGUUAAUACUUUGAUCAGGGUUUCAUUAGCAUUUCAGAAGCAGUACAGAGGAGACGAGAUGAAGCCGAACAAAUAUACAUCUUCCGCCAUCACCACCGAUCCACCGCCUCCAUCGUCUUCUACAAUCGUUUCAUCCGGUGAGCGGUUUCACUACCUCCUCUGUCGUAUACCAAAUUUUAGUAUCAAUUUACAUUUUAUAGCCUUGUGUACUACAUGAGUGAAAUGCAUGGAAGGAACGAGGUAUUGAUGCUAAAGGAAUUCGGGCUAAAGCCCAUAUGUUGAGCCUCGUACUGAGAUAUGUCAUCACAUGGGAGAAACAUUUUUGGUUCUAUUUUAUUAUUUCAGGGAUUGCUUGAAAUCAUACCAUCUAAAUGUGUAUCAUUUGAUGAGCGGGAAAUGUAAAAGCCAGUUUGCAUGUGGUUGGCCAAUACAGGCUUAAAAACCAACUUGAUUACUAAAAGUAUUUACAUAAUAAAACAUGUUGCAAGUUUAUAGAUUUUCUAUGGCGAUUCUGAAAAUCUUGUCUUCUUUUUCUUGUUUCCAAAUUGGCAUAAAUGUGGAAUUUAUAAAAGAGCUCCACGAUUUACCUUACCAAUUAUCAAAUCAUCUAAUAUUAUAUUCAUGUAUGUUUAUUUUGUCAGUUAUAUUGAUAGUGUUGGAGUUGGUGGAGAAAUUCCUUCUACAUAUGCUAAUACAACAAAUUUGGUCUGUGUAAGAACAUUUAUUUUGAUGAUGUUUCAAAGUAAUUAAGCUUGUGGUUAAUAUGCCUAGGUUGAAUUGGUGAGUGGGAUUUUCAUUUAGCGGCUAAUUGAAAUGAAAUCAAGGAAACUAUAUAAGUCUUUAAUUCAUGUUGACUAAAAAUUUGUUUUCUUUCUUAUUUGCUCUCAACUUGGUCUGACUUGUUCAUCUUGAACUUGACUCGGUGCGAGUCAAUUCAUGUGACUCACAAGGUCCCGGUUGGGGAUUCUUCCUUAAACUUGUUCAGUUGGUUGAGAAGGAUGCGGAAAGGGUGAUGCUGUUGUUUUGGGCAACCAUUAAUGCUGGAGGUCGAGUUGAUAGCGCGCUGAAGGAUCUGGCGAUUGUUAUGAAACAACAUAAUGGGGCCGAAGAAGCAAUUGAAGCGAUUAAUUCUUUGCUUAAAGAAAAAAAACAUGUUUUUUCCGGUAAAACCCAAGACCCUAAACCCUAUAUCAUUAUGAGAUUAAGGUGUGGAAUAUUGGAUAAUCAGAUUCGACUGUUGUGGCAUAAACUGUUCAUGAUACAACAAGGGACGGCUUUCAAUGGGAAGCGAACUAAAACCGCAAGAUCUUAAGGGAAGAAGCUUCAAGUUUCGGCUGAGCAGGAGGUGACUUGGCUGAUGGUAAGAACUAACAACAACCAUGGUGGAUUUUGUAAUAGAUAUGGGAUUUUGAUUUUAAAAUUUGUUUUAAGAUAUAUUUUCUUCAGACAUGAGGUCUGAAGUGGCUACCCAAGUUUAUUGCACUUUUCAAGGCAUUAAAAUGGAAAUAGUUCUUUCAAUGGUACGACUGGUCUAAAUUUGCUCCUGGAAAACACAAUCAUUGUUGGUUUACUGAUCUAACAUAAUAUUGACUUUCUGGCCUUUUAUGUUAAUGUUAAAGGACUGGGUCAAACCUGUUCUCAAUUAUACAAGUUCUGUGUGGGCCUUGGCUGUGAGUUCUACAAGCAUUGCUGUGCUUGUAUGGGUUGGGGAGGGAGUACACAAUGAGCUUUUAAAAGUAUGGUCAUACCUGUGGAUUGGACUAAGAUGGCAUUGGGUUCAAGUGUUAGAUGUCCAGCAUGAUGGAGGUGUAAGUAUGGGCUCAAGAAUGUGAUGCAUCAUUGCAUUGGGCAAGAGAUGGAUCACCUUGUAUAUGGCAUGGGUCGAUUGAUUCUUAAAACUCUAAUAGGCAUCGUGGACUAUGAGCUUGCUAUUGGCCUUUACUCUUUCUAGGAUGUUUGUUUUCAAAAGUUGUAAAAAGUAUUAGUUGGUUUAUAAACUCAUUAUAAUUGUAAAUAUAUUACUACUUUAAAUACCUUAGGUUGAUGUUGGGUUUGGAGUUG